This 786-nucleotide ribosomal RNA is filed under the name uncultured bacterium. RNAcentral describes it as "bacterial SSU rRNA". It matches the Rfam family "Bacterial small subunit ribosomal RNA", at positions 8 to 793 of the family's 1533-position model. The record is from RNAcentral.
AGAGUUUGAUCCUGGCUCAGGAUGAACGCUAGCGGCAGGCCUAACACAUGCAAGUCGAGGGGUAGAAGGAGCUUGCUCCUUUGAGACCGGCGCACGGGUGCGUAACGCGUAUGCAAUCUACCUUGUACAGAGGAAUAGCCCAGAGAAAUUUGGAUUAAUGCCUCAUAGUAUAUUGGGUCGGCAUCGACCUAUUAUUAAAGAUUUAUCGGUACAAGAUGAGCAUGCGUCCCAUUAGUUAGUUGGUAAGGUAACGGCUUACCAAGACGAUGAUGGGUAGGGGUCCUGAGAGGGAGAUCCCCCACACUGGUACUGAGACACGGACCAGACUCCUACGGGAGGCAGCAGUGAGGAAUAUUGGGCAAUGGAGGCAACUCUGACCCAGCCAUGCCGCGUGCAGGAAGACGGUCCUAUGGAUUGUAAACUGCUUUUAUACGGGAAGAAACACCACUACGUGUAGUGACUUGACGGUACCGUAAGAAUAAGGAUCGGCUAACUCCGUGCCAGCAGCCGCGGUAAUACGGAGGAUCCAAGCGUUAUCCGGAAUCAUUGGGUUUAAAGGGUCCGUAGGCGGCCUUAUAAGUCAGUGGUGAAAUCUCCUAGCUCAACUAGGAAACUGCCAUUGAUACUGUAGGGCUUGAAUUAUUGUGAAGUAACUAGAAUAUGUAGUGUAGCGGUGAAAUGCUUAGAUAUUACAUGGAAUACCAAUUGCGAAGGCAGGUUACUAACAAUAUAUUGACGCUGAUGGACGAAAGCGUGGGUAGCGAACAGGAUUAGAUACCCUGGUAG